AUGAUCAAUAUUAGAGAGAAUGGUAUGUUGUAAUUCAUUAUGACAUAAUGCCAUCGCCGAAGGUGCAAGUUUAACGAAACUCUCAGGCAAAAGGAUAAUAUUGUGACG
Molecule: non-coding RNA, 108 nt
Filed under: Staphylococcus succinus
Lineage: Bacteria; Bacillati; Bacillota; Bacilli; Caryophanales; Staphylococcaceae
Description: Glycine sequence
Rfam family: Glycine riboswitch aptamer
About the family: This family represents the bacterial glycine riboswitch. Glycine riboswitches usually consist of two metabolite-binding aptamers domains with similar structures in tandem. The aptamers cooperatively bind glycine to regulate the expression of downstream genes.
Source: RNAcentral